Molecule: ribosomal RNA, 252 nt
Filed under: uncultured bacterium
Lineage: Bacteria
Description: partial 16S ribosomal RNA
Rfam family: Bacterial small subunit ribosomal RNA
Source: RNAcentral
UACGUAGGUCCCGAGCGUUGUCCGGAUUUAUUGGGCGUAAAGCGAGCGCAGGUGGUUUAUUAAGUCUGGUGUAAAAGGCAGUGGCUCAACCAUUGUAUGCAUUGGAAACUGGUAGACUUGGGUGCAGGAGAGGAGAGUGGAAUUCCAUGUAUAGCGGUGAAAUGCGUAGAUAUAUGGAGGAACACCGGUGGCGAAAGCGGCUCUCUGGCCUGUAACUGACACUGAGGCUCGAAAGCGUGGGGAGCAAACAGG